CACGUAGGGGGCGAGCGUUGUCCGGAUUUAUUGGGCGUAAAGGGCUCGUAGGCGGUUUGGCAAGUCGGGUGUGAAAUUUCGAGGCUCAACCUCGAAACGCCACUCGAUACUGCCAUGACUGGAGUCCGGUAGAGGAGUGUGGAAUUCCUGGUGUAGCGGUGAAAUGCGCAGAUAUCAGGAGGAACACCAACGGCGAAGGCAGCACUCUGGGCCGGUACUGACGCUGAGGAGCGAAAGCGUGGGGAGCAAACAGG
Molecule: ribosomal RNA, 254 nt
Filed under: uncultured bacterium
Lineage: Bacteria
Description: partial 16S ribosomal RNA
Rfam family: Bacterial small subunit ribosomal RNA
Source: RNAcentral